CCUACGGGUGGCUGCAGUCGAGAAUCAUUCACAAUGGGGGAAACCCUGAUGGUGCGACGCCGCGUGGGGGAAUGAAGGUCUUCGGAUUGUAAACCCCUGUCAUGUGGGAGCAAAUUAAAAAGAUCGUACCACAAGAGGCAGAGACGGCUAACUCUGGGCCAGCAGCCGCGGUAAUACAGAGGUCUCAAGCGUUGUUCGGAAUCACUGGGCGUAAAGCGUGCGUAGGCAGUUUCGUAAGUCGUGUGUGAAAGGCGCGGGCUCAACCCGCGGACGGCACAUGAUACUGCGAGACUAGAGUAAGGGAGGGGGAACCGGAAUUCUCGGUGUAGCAGUGAAAUGCGUAGAUAUCGAGAGGAACACUCGUGGCGAAGGCGGGUUCCUGGACAGUAACUGACGCUGAGGCACGAAGGCCAGGGGAGCGAAAGGGAUUAGAUACCCUUGUAGUC
RNAcentral lists this ribosomal RNA (446 nucleotides) under uncultured bacterium. Its description in RNAcentral is "partial 16S ribosomal RNA". It matches the Rfam family "Bacterial small subunit ribosomal RNA", at positions 338 to 795 of the family's 1533-position model. The record is from RNAcentral.